RNAcentral lists this ribosomal RNA (476 nucleotides) under uncultured organism. RNAcentral's name for it is "partial 16S ribosomal RNA". It matches the Rfam family "Bacterial small subunit ribosomal RNA", at positions 331 to 798 of the family's 1533-position model. The record is from RNAcentral.
GUACACUCCUACGGGAGGCAGCAGUGGGGAAUUUUGGACAAUGGGCGAAAGCCUGAUCCAGCAAUGCCGCGUGCAGGAUGAAGGCCUUCGGGUUGUAAACUGCUUUUGUACGGAACGAAAAAGCUCCUUCUAAUACAGGGGGCCCAUGACGGUACCGUAAGAAUAAGCACCGGCUAACUACGUGCCAGCAGCCGCGGUAAUACGUAGGGUGCGAGCGUUAAUCGGAAUUACUGGGCGUAAAGCGUGCGCAGGCGGUUAUGUAAGACAGAUGUGAAAUCCCCGGGCUCAACCUGGGAACUGCAUUUGUGACUGCAUGGCUAGAGUACGGUAGAGGGGGAUGGAAUUCCGCGUGUAGCAGUGAAAUGCGUAGAUAUGCGGAGGAACACCGAUGGCGAAGGCAAUCCCCUGGACCUGUACUGACGCUCAUGCACGAAAGCGUGGGGAGCAAACAGGAUUAGAUACCCCAGUAGUCCCAU